GCCGACCUAGCUCAAUUGGUAGAGCAACUGACUUGUAAUCAGUAGGUUGGGGGUUCAAGUCCUCUGGCCGGCACCA
RNAcentral lists this transfer RNA (76 nucleotides) under Staphylococcus aureus. RNAcentral describes it as "tRNA-Thr". It matches the Rfam family "tRNA". From Rfam's summary of the family: Transfer RNA (tRNA) molecules are approximately 80 nucleotides in length. Their secondary structure includes four short double-helical elements and three loops (D, anti-codon, and T loops). The record is from RNAcentral. Lineage: Bacteria; Bacillati; Bacillota; Bacilli; Caryophanales; Staphylococcaceae.